This 887-nucleotide ribosomal RNA is filed under the name uncultured Thermotogales bacterium. Its description in RNAcentral is "bacterial SSU rRNA". It matches the Rfam family "Bacterial small subunit ribosomal RNA", at positions 8 to 938 of the family's 1533-position model. The record is from RNAcentral. Lineage: Bacteria; Thermotogati; Thermotogota; Thermotogae; Thermotogales.
AGAGUUUGAUCCUGGCUCAGGGUGAACGCUGGCGGCGUGCCUAACACAUGCAGUCGAGCGGUGCGGCUGGAGGCUUUUGCCGAAGGCUGCACAGCGGCGGACGGGUGCGUACGCGUAGGAACGUGCCCCUCGGAGGCGGGUAGCCGCGGGAAACUGCGGGUAAACCGCCAACGCUCGGGAGAGGAAAGGCCGAAAGGCGCCGAGGGAGCGGCCUGCGUCCCAUCAGGUAUUGGUGGGGUAAUGGCCCACCAAGCCGACGACGGGUAGCCGGUCUGAGAGGAUGGCCGGCACAAGGGCACUGAGACACGGGCCCUACUCCUACGGGAGGCAGCAGUGGGGGAUCUUGGCAAUGGGCGAAAGCCUGAUCCAGCGACGCCGCGUGGAGGACGAAGCCCUUCGGGGUGUAACUCCUUUUGUCGGGGAAAAAGUUCUGAUGGUACCCGACGAAUAAGCCCCGGCUAACUAGUGCCAGCAGCCGCGGUAAUACGUAGGGGGCGAGCGUUACCCGGAAUUACUGGGCGUAAGGGUGCGUAGGCGGCCCCGUGUGUCCGGUGUUAAAGCCCACGGCUCAACCGUGGAUAUGGCUGGAAACUGCGGGGCUUGGGUGCGGCAGAGGCAGACGGAACUGCUGGUGUAGGGGUGAAUCCGUAGAUAUCAGCAGGAACGCCGGUGGAGAAGUCGGUCUGCUGGGCCGUAACCGCGCUGAGGCACGAAAGCUAGGGGAGCGAACCGGAUUAGAUACCCGGGUAGUCCUAGCCGAAACGAUGCUCACUAGGUGUGGGGCGAAGAGCUCCGUGCUGAAGCUAACGCGUUAAGUAGCCGCCUGGGGAGUAUGCCCGCAAGGGUGAAACUCAAUGAAUUGACGGGGAAGGGCGAUUCGCGGCCGC